This 584-nucleotide ribosomal RNA is filed under the name uncultured bacterium. RNAcentral describes it as "bacterial SSU rRNA". It matches the Rfam family "Bacterial small subunit ribosomal RNA", at positions 128 to 751 of the family's 1533-position model. The record is from RNAcentral.
GCCCUUCACUACGGAAUAGCCUCUGGAAACUGAGAGUAAUACCGUAUACGCCCUUUGGGGAAAGAUUUAUCGGUGAAGGAUUAGCCCGCGUCUGAUUAGAUAGUUGGUGGGGUAACGGCCUACCAAGUCGACGAUCAGUAGCUGGUUUGAGAGGAUGAUCAGCAACACUGGGACUGAGACACGGCCCAGACUCCUACGGGAGGCAGCAGUGGGGAAUCUUAGACAAUGGGCGCAAGUGAUCUAGCCAUGCCGCGUGAGUGACGAAGGCCUUAGGGUCGUAAAGCUCUUUCGCCAGGGAUGAUAAUGACAGUACCUGGUAAAGAAACCCCGGCUAACUCCGUGCCAGCAGCCGCGGUAAUACGAAGGGGGCUAGCGUUGUUCGGAAUUACUGGGCGUAAAGCGUACGUAGGCGGACUGAUCAGUCAGGGGUGAAAUCCCGGGGCUCAACCCCGAACUGCCUUUGAUACUGUCAGUCUUGAGUUCGAGAGAGGUGAGUGGAAUUCCGAGUGUAGAGGUGAAAUUCGUAGAUAUUCGGAGGAACACCAGUGGCGAAGGGGCUCACUGGCUCGAUACCGACGCUAAGG